AGCCGCGCGGUAAUACCCGCAGCUCAAGUGGUGGCCACUAUUAUUGAGCCUAAAGCGUCCGUAGCCGGUCUUUGUAAAUCUCUGGGUAAAUCCCAUCGCUCAACGGUGGGAAGACUGGAGAGACUGCAAGACUAGGGAUUCGGGUGAGGUAAGAGGUACUCCUGGGGUAGGGGUAAAAUCCUGUAAUCCUGGGGGGACGACCGGUGGCGAAGGCGUCUUACUAGAACGACUCCGACGGUGAGGGACGAAGGCUAGGGGAGCAAACCGGAUUAGAUACCCGGGUAGUCCUAGCUGUAAACGCUGCCCACUUGGUGUUGCCCUUUCGUAGGGAAGGGGCGGUGCCGGAGCGAAGGUGUUAAGUGGGCCGCUUGGGGAGUAUGGUCGCAAGGCUGAAACUUAAAGGAAUUGGCGGGAGAGCACCGCAACGGGAGGAGCGUGCGGCUUAAUUGGAUUCAACGCCGGAAAACUCACCAGGAGAGACCAUGGUAUGAGAGUCAACCUGAAGAGCUUACUCGAUUACAUGGAGAAGUGGUGCAUGGCCGUCGUCAGCUCGUACCGUAAAGCGUUCGCUUAAGUGUGAUAACGAGCGAGACCCCCAUCCACAUUUGCUAAUAUAAUCACGAGAUUAUAUGCACUAUGUGGAGAC
RNAcentral lists this ribosomal RNA (646 nucleotides) under uncultured Thermoplasmatales archaeon. Its description in RNAcentral is "bacterial SSU rRNA". It matches the Rfam family "Archaeal small subunit ribosomal RNA", at positions 460 to 1105 of the family's 1478-position model. The record is from RNAcentral. Lineage: Archaea; Methanobacteriati; Thermoplasmatota; Thermoplasmata; Thermoplasmatales.